GGAACUUUAAGGCCAGUCUGGAUGCCCAGGAUGGGGAUGGGUUGAGCCCGCUGAUCCUAGGAGCCCACAUGAGCAGAGUGGAGCUGUGUGCUUUCCUGUUGGACAGAGGGGCCAACCCCAACAUACAGGACAACCAGGGCAGGUCAGCCCUGAUGCUGGCCUGUGAGAGUGACAGUGCAGAGACAGUGGAGGUGUUGCUAAGGGGGGGGCUAACCCACAGCUGGCCGACGCCUUCAGACACGACGCAGCCCACUACGGCGUAACCGCCGGCAACCAGCGGAUCGCACAGCUUCUGCAGAACUGUCUUCCAGCCACUGAGGGCAACGGCGAGGAGGUAACUGACCACUCAGCUUUCCAUUUUCACUCACUACACAUUCAGUACAUGUGAAAACACAACUAUUUCUAGAUUGUACAUAAUAGAAUUUACAACAUAAGAAGGAACACCAACUUCUUAUCCCAUUUUCAAUCUACAACAUCUUUUGAACAACAACAGCUGAAGUAACAUCACACAUUAAAAGCUAAUUUCACAACGUUUUGGGCUACAGUACUGCCUG
RNAcentral lists this long non-coding RNA (554 nucleotides) under Salmo salar (Atlantic salmon). RNAcentral describes it as "lncRNA (ENSSSAG00000084280.1)". Lineage: Eukaryota; Metazoa; Chordata; Actinopteri; Salmoniformes; Salmonidae. The record is from RNAcentral.